This is a long non-coding RNA of Daphnia pulicaria, 654 nucleotides long. RefSeq lists it as uncharacterized. Lineage: Eukaryota; Metazoa; Arthropoda; Branchiopoda; Diplostraca; Daphniidae. The transcript is spliced from 3 exons. The record is from RefSeq and is a predicted model, not a curated record.
GACUUAUCUUCCUACCUCGGGCUGUUUUUGUUGCCCUCAUUUCGAUUGAUUUGCUGGCACUUUAUCGUCCCAAUGAAAUGAGAUCUGCCAGCAGCAGUCAGCAGCAAGGAGGAGGUUCAAUAUGUCAAGAAACAAUAAAGAAGACGACGAAGAUGAACUGGAAGCUUUGCGUUUGGCUGCCGUCGAAAGUUUUAGGGCUAAGGGAAUUCCUCCACCUGUUGUGUUGAAAGGCCAUCAUUUGUCCCUCAUACACAAUGUUUGCAGUAAUGCAGUCUUUCAGUGUCAUUUUGACAAUUAAAAUUUGAUAGCCAGCAUUCCAGUAGAGAACAAUUCUGCGAGUUCCUCACCUGACCUCACCUCACCUCAAGAAUCCAUCACCCUCCAUUACUUGAUUUGAAACCUCCACCCAUGAUGAGUAAUUCAUCGAGACCAAAUCUGAUGUGAUCACCUAACUCUGCUGGUUGUGGAUUAAACUUUGCUGUGGAUGGAGCGGAUUUGAGCCAUUUUGGAUUCCUGGCUGUGGAUGUACCAGGCAUAAAGGUAUGACAAAUUCAUUUCUUAGCUUUUAUUAUGUAUAUUACAUAGCGAUUAAGUUAUUUACAAACUGAGACAAAUGUGAAAUGUAAUAUUACAAAAGUGAACUUUUAAUAACGA